RNAcentral lists this ribosomal RNA (253 nucleotides) under uncultured bacterium. Its description in RNAcentral is "partial 16S ribosomal RNA". It matches the Rfam family "Bacterial small subunit ribosomal RNA", at positions 524 to 776 of the family's 1533-position model. The record is from RNAcentral.
UACGUAGGGGGCAAGCGUUGUCCGGAAUUAUUGGGCGUAAAGAGCGUGUAGGCGGUCCGGUAAGUCAGCUGUGAAAGUCAAGGGCUCAACCCUUGAAUGCCGGUUGAUACUGUCGGGCUAGAGUCCGGAAGAGGCGAGUGGAAUUCCCGGUGUAGCGGUGAAAUGCGCAGAUAUCGGGAGGAACACCCGUGGCGAAGGCGGUUCUCUGGGACGGUACUGACGCUGAGACGCGAAAGCGUGGGGAGCGAACAGG